CUCCAGGGCAUUGCAGAGCUCGUCUGCAGCUGUAGCAAACUGACUGAGUCAAACCUCUAUCUGGACCAGAACACACUGAGUCAAACCUCUAUCUGGACCAGAACAGACUGAGUCAAACCUCUAUCUGGACCUGAACAGACUGAGUCAAACCUCUAUCUGGACUGUAGGAGAACUACAUUCUGAGACAGGAGUCUAUACCCUGAGACAGGAGUCUAUACCCAAAGACAGGAGUCUAUACCCUGAGACAGGAGUCUAUACCCUGAGACAGGAGUCUAUACCCAAAGACAGGAGUCUAUACCCUGAGACAGGAGUCUAUACCCUGAGACAGGAGUCUAUACCCAAAGACAGGAGUCUAUACCCUGAGACAGGAGUCUAUACCCUGAGACAGGAGUCUAUACCCUGAGACAGGAGUCUAUACCCUGAGACAGGAGUCUAUACCCUAAACAAGAGUCUACCUUUAAGAAGAGGAAGAGGUGUGUAUACCUUUAGGGAGAGGAAGAGAGACAGGUGUUUAUAUCUCUAGAAAGAGGAAGAGAGACAGAGUACCUCAUUAUCUCAGCUGAGAUGCAGGGGUCGUUUCUACAGGCGCGUUGUGAUGAACCCCUCAUGACAACAGACUGGGGUUUGCCCCUCCUCCUGUCUCUCAUCGUCCUGGGGCUGCUCUACGCCUUCCUCUACCUCCCUUCCGUGGCACAACGAGCCCUGCUGGAGCAGGCCCUCAACAACCAGACUGGACUACCUUCCUCUACCUCCUCACCAUGAUACAGAGAGGAGCAGGUCCUUCCUUCCUCUACCUCCUCACCAUGAUACAGAGAGGAGCAGGUCCUUCCUUCCUCUACCUCCUCACCAUGAUACAGAGAGGAGCAGGUCCUUCCUUCCUCUACCUCCUCACCAUGAAACAGAGAGGAGCAGGUCCUCAACAACCUUCCUCUA
Molecule: long non-coding RNA, 933 nt
Filed under: Salmo salar (Atlantic salmon)
Lineage: Eukaryota; Metazoa; Chordata; Actinopteri; Salmoniformes; Salmonidae
Description: lncRNA (ENSSSAG00000119508.1)
Source: RNAcentral